RNAcentral lists this RNase P RNA (430 nucleotides) under Gemmatimonadota bacterium. Its description in RNAcentral is "RNase P RNA component class A". It matches the Rfam family "Bacterial RNase P class A". From Rfam's summary of the family: Ribonuclease P (RNase P) is a ubiquitous endoribonuclease, found in archaea, bacteria and eukarya as well as chloroplasts and mitochondria. Its best characterised activity is the generation of mature 5'-ends of tRNAs by cleaving the 5'-leader elements of precursor-tRNAs. The record is from RNAcentral. Lineage: Bacteria; Pseudomonadati; Gemmatimonadota.
UGAUGGCAGAUGAUCGCUGGUGUGCAGCAAUGCGCGCUGGAGGAAAGUCCGAACACCACACGGCAACAUGCCGCGUAAAACACGCGGGCGCCACGUUCGUAAGCGCGCGGCGACGGAAAGUGUCGCAGAAAAUAUACCGCCGGUUCUUUGAAAGGUAGAGCAAGCUUCCAGCUUGCUUCUUCUUGGCCCCGGCAAGGUUGAAAAGGCGAGGUAAGAGCUCACCGCUCGCGGAGCAAUUCGCGAGGCAGGAAAAACCCCAUGCGGUGCAAGACAGAACAGAGGGAGGGCAGCCGGUCCGUUGAUCCUCGGGUUUAGUCGCAUCACGGUCCCGCCCCCCAGCGAGAUCGGGCGGCUCACGCGAGUGAGCUGAGAUAAAUGAUCAUCCGCUCGAGCGAUCGAGCGACAGAAUUCGGCUUAUCGCCAUCGAAAU